UAGAAGCGGUGCACGAAGAGAGAACGAGGAGAAUGUUGCUGGGUGAGGAAAACGGUGCGCGAAAAAAUAACUGGGAGUUUGGUUUGAGAUCUAGAGGCUAGCGGUUGGGGGAGUUUUUGAUCGGGAGGAGAAUGCUAAGGUGAAGAAAAGAGGAAAACGGGGAAGAUGUUUUGGUCUUGAGGAGUGGUGUUUUGGUGCUUGGCAGAGGACAGGAGAAUUCAAUUUUGACAGAAGGAGAAAUAAGGGAAGAAGAGUGAGAAGUCUUCGAGAAGGAGGAAAAACGUCAUCAAUCCGAAGAACCUGUUACACCAGCCGCCAACCGAGCUCGGCGUGACGACUAGAAUUUAAUUUCAUCAAAUCAUAAAUUUUCAAACGACGCACGAUAUUUCUCUACUGAUACUACUUCCCUGUGCGACACUCGCUUGCAAAAUGAAAAUUGCCGGCCCAGCCGACUAUCGAUCAAACGGUCUCGGUCCUGCUCAUUUUGUGAGAAAAACCAAAAAUGCAUUUUCAAUCGCCUCAACCAGGACAAUCGUUAGGUCUGCAUUUCACAAUUUAUGACCUGGUCAAGUUUAAAUACAAGGUCAAUGUUCCCUUUUGAUCGGUUAUACAAUAUUCGAACAUUGUUAUUAGCUACAAAUUAACAAUUUAUAUAUAAAUGUGAUAAAUCAAAACAAAAUACGCAGUUCAAUUUCAUUUACUAAUCAGCAAAUUAAGUGUUGUUGAACCUUUCGAUAAUUUGCAUAUAAUAAAUAGAUCAGCACUAAAUGAAAGCUCGUUCAACCAGGUAUUUGCUUGCAUAACAAAAUGUUAUAUUCAUGUCAAUAACUUCGCAACUUUUCUAUUCAUUUAAGCAAACUCAAUAUUAGUAUUUAAGGAAGAAAUUGUUAAUGUUCUAUACUCAGUAAAUAAAAAUUUCGACAGAGAACGUUCUGCUUUGUUAUUUAUUGGUCAAAGUAUAA
Molecule: long non-coding RNA, 962 nt
Organism: Hermetia illucens (black soldier fly)
Lineage: Eukaryota; Metazoa; Arthropoda; Insecta; Diptera; Stratiomyidae
Exons: 3
Source: RefSeq, a predicted model, not a curated record